AUACAUGCAAGUCGAGCGAACAGAUAAGGAGCUUGCUCCUUUGACGUUAGCGGCGGACGGGUGAGUAACACGUGGGUAACCUACCUAUAAGACUGGGAUAACUUCGGGAAACCGGAGCUAAUACCGGAUAACAUUUGGAACCGCAUGGUUCUAAAGUGAAAGAUGGUUUUGCUAUCACUUAUAGAUGGACCCGCGCCGUAUUAGCUAGUUGGUAAGGUAACGGCUUACCAAGGCGACGAUACGUAGCCGACCUGAGAGGGUGAUCGGCCACACUGGAACUGAGACACGGUCCAGACUCCUACGGGAGGCAGCAGUAGGGAAUCUUCCGCAAUGGGCGAAAGCCUGACGGAGCAACGCCGCGUGAGUGAUGAAGGGUUUCGGCUCGUAAAACUCUGUUAUUAGGGAAGAACAAACGUGUAAGUAACUGUGCACGUCUUGACGGUACCUAAUCAGAAAGCCACGGCUAACUACGUGCCAGCAGCCGCGGUAAUACGUAGGUGGCAAGCGUUAUCCGGAAUUAUUGGGCGUAAAGCGCGCGUAGGCGGUUUCUUAAGUCUGAUGUGAAAGCCCACGGCUCAACCGUGGAGGGUCAUUGGAAACUGGGAAACUUGAGUGCAGAAGAGGAAAGUGGAAUUCCAUGUGUAGCGGUGAAAUGCGCAUAAAUAUAGAGGAACACCAGUGUCGAAAGCGACUUUCUGUUCUUAGCUGUCGCUGCGGUGCGAAAAUAGGGGG
Molecule: ribosomal RNA, 732 nt
Filed under: Staphylococcus saprophyticus
Lineage: Bacteria; Bacillati; Bacillota; Bacilli; Caryophanales; Staphylococcaceae
Description: bacterial SSU rRNA
Rfam family: Bacterial small subunit ribosomal RNA
Source: RNAcentral